RNAcentral lists this ribosomal RNA (501 nucleotides) under uncultured bacterium. Its description in RNAcentral is "partial 16S ribosomal RNA". It matches the Rfam family "Bacterial small subunit ribosomal RNA", at positions 30 to 523 of the family's 1533-position model. The record is from RNAcentral.
AUUGAACGCUGGCGGCAGGCUUAACACAUGCAAGUCGAGCGGGGGAAGGUAGCUUGCUACCGGACCUAGCGGCGGACGGGUGAGUAAUGCUUAGGAAUCUGCCUAUUAGUGGGGGACAACAUCUCGAAAGGGAUGCUAAUACCGCAUACGUCCUACGGGAGAAAGCAGGGGAUCUUCGGACCUUGCGCUAAUAGAUGAGCCUAAGUCAGAUUAGCUGGUUGGUGGGGUAAAGGCCUACCAAGGCGACGAUCUGUAGCGGGUCUGAGAGGAUGAACCGCCACACUGGGACUGAGACACGGCCAAGACUCCUACGGGAGGCAGCAGUGGGGAAUAUUGGACAAUGGGGGGAACCCUGAUCCAGCCAUGCCGCGUGUGUGAAGAAGGCCUUAUGGUUGUAAAGCACUUUAAGCGAGGAGGAGGCUACUUUAGUUAAUACCUAGAGAUAGUGGACGUUACUCGCAGAAUAAGCACCGGCUAACUCUGUGCCAGCCGCCGCCGUAA